AGCAGCCGCGGUAAUUCCAGCUCCAAUAGCGUAUAUUAAAGUUGUUGCAGUUAAAAAGCUCGUAGUUGAAUUUCGGGGUUAGUAGGUUGGUCAUGCCUCUGGUAUGUACUGGUCUCACUGAUUCCUCCUUCCUUAUGAACCGUAAUGCCAUUAAUUUGGUGUUGCGGGGAAUUUGGACUGUUACUUUGAAAAAUUAGAGUGUUUAAAGCAAGCUAACGCUUGAAUACAUUAGCAUGGAAUAAUGAAAUAGGACGUUCGAUCUUAUUUUGUUGGUUUCUAGGAUUGACGUAAUGAUUAAUAGGGAUAGUUGGGGGCAUUAGUAUUCAAUUGUCAGAGGUGAAAUUCUUGGAUUUAUUGAAGACUAACUACUGCGAAAGCAUUUGCCAAGGAUGUUUUCAUUAAUCAAGAACGAAAGUUAGGGGAUCGAAGACGAUCAGAUACCGUCGUAGUCUUAACCAUAAACUAUGCCGACUAGGGAUCGGAUGAUGUUAAUUUUUAAUGACUCAUUCGGCNCCUUACG
RNAcentral lists this ribosomal RNA (520 nucleotides) under uncultured Glomus. RNAcentral's name for it is "SSU rRNA". It matches the Rfam family "Eukaryotic small subunit ribosomal RNA", at positions 569 to 1092 of the family's 1831-position model. The record is from RNAcentral. Lineage: Eukaryota; Fungi; Glomeromycota; Glomeromycetes; Glomerales; Glomeraceae.